UACGUAGGGUCCGAGCGUUGUCCGGAAUUACUGGGCGUAAAGAGCUCGUAGGUGGUUUGUCACGUUGUUCGUGAAAACUCACAGCUUAACUGUGGGCGUGCGGGCGAUACGGGCAGACUAGAGUACUGCAGGGGAGACUGGAAUUCCUGGUGUAGCGGUGGAAUGCGCAGAUAUCAGGAGGAACACCGGUGGCGAAGGCGGGUCUCUGGGCAGUAACUGACGCUGGAGGAGCGAAAGCGUGGGGAGCGAACAGG
Molecule: ribosomal RNA, 254 nt
Filed under: uncultured bacterium
Lineage: Bacteria
Description: partial 16S ribosomal RNA
Rfam family: Bacterial small subunit ribosomal RNA
Source: RNAcentral